Non-coding RNA from Ciona savignyi (Pacific transparent sea squirt), 82 nucleotides. Lineage: Eukaryota; Metazoa; Chordata; Ascidiacea; Phlebobranchia; Cionidae. The record is from Rfam.
GGUAGCGUGGCCGAGCGGUCUAAGGCGCUGGUUUUAGGCACUAGUCAUUUCGAUGGCGUGGGUUCGACUCCCACCGCUGCCA